Molecule: long non-coding RNA, 658 nt
Organism: Ahaetulla prasina
Lineage: Eukaryota; Metazoa; Chordata; Lepidosauria; Squamata; Colubridae
Exons: 3
Source: RefSeq, a predicted model, not a curated record
UGAUGUCCUAUCGGCCACUUUGCAAUUACCAAACCAUACACAGGUGCAGGAAGUUAAAAAAAAAGCACCAGAGCUGCCUCUAAUUCAUAAAACGGCUCUCUCUUUUUUUUCUCUUGGCAUUUGCCAUUUCUCUCCCCACCCCCACUGGAAAAAUCUCAAUUUUUCUGUCCUUCCCUUUUGCUCUCCUGGUCCUAGUUUCCCCAAUCUGCGGAAAAGUAACCUGACUUGGUUUGAAAUCUGCUGGAGCUAAAAGCACUUUUCUGAUAACAGAGAUAGGCAAUUGCGGCCAAUUUCAGAAGAGUGUUGUCGCUGGGUGAAGAUGGCAUGCCUUUAGCCGAGAGGAAAUGCUUAGCAAUUGAAAGAUGAAUGUCUUCCGUCCGUUUAGCCAACUGGAUAGGAAAGGUAACCGACUGCAUCCAAAUAUUCUCAAAAGCUACAACCUACGAACAAAUAACUAGAGAGACAAUUUAUCAAACCGUUCCUAAAAAUAGAGGGCUGCCAGAGAGAGGAGGGGGGUCAACCUAUUUUCCAAAGCACCUGAAGGCCAGACAAGGAAUAAUGGAUGGAAACUGAUCAAGGAGAGAUUCAACUUGGAAAUAAGGAUAAGAAUUUUCUGACAGUGAGAACAAUCAACCCAUGGAACAGAAGUUGCCUUCAA